ACUGACUGGCUCAGCGUGUGUCUACCCUACGCCGACAGGUGCGGGUAACCCGUUGAACCCCAUUCGUGAUGGGGAUCGGGGAUUGCAAUUAUUCCCCGUGAAU
Non-coding RNA from Chelonia mydas (Green sea turtle), 103 nucleotides. The record is from Rfam. NCBI's taxonomy places the organism in Eukaryota, Metazoa, Chordata, Testudines, Cheloniidae.